This 1367-nucleotide ribosomal RNA is filed under the name Donax trunculus (truncated wedgeshell). RNAcentral's name for it is "large subunit ribosomal RNA". The stretch from base 614 to 1367 matches the Rfam family "Archaeal large subunit ribosomal RNA", at positions 1423 to 2845 of the family's 2987-position model. The record is from RNAcentral. Lineage: Eukaryota; Metazoa; Mollusca; Bivalvia; Cardiida; Donacidae.
CACGACAUGUUAGGGGGCAGCCAAAGAUCGGUAACUUUUAAGCGCCUAUACAACUAAAUGUAGGAAAAUUGAUUAAUUGAUGGUUUUAUGAAUUAAGAUAAAGAGGGUAUUGAUAAAGAUAUUUAAUGUUUUAUAUUUUUAUAAGAAAAAAAGUUAGUUGUUAAGAAGGGAUAUAACCCCGUACUUUUUGUAUCAUGGUCUAUAGAGGUAAGUAAGUUAUCUUAAUUCCUGAAAGCUCUAGAUCUACUUAAACUAAUUGUUAUGUAAUCGUUGUAGCGCUUAAGUGUAAUGUUUAAGUAGAAGUGAAAUUCUAUUCGAAAGGGCUGGUAGCUGGUUAGGGGGAAAAUGUGUAAGUGCACAGGAGUAAGGCAGGGUUUAAAAAAUAUAAGUUUUUAAACUUUUUUACUACUAAUAUUUUUGGGGGUUAGCUCAAAAAUCAAGUUAUUUUUAAGGGUAUAAAUGGGAUUAAAUAUGUCUAAUUUUAAUAAAAUAUAAAUUAUACCUUAAGGUGAGUUGUUUUAAGUACCCGUUUAAACCUUUAAACUUUUAAGGGAAAGACUAGUAUAGAAUUAGUAUAUUAUUAGUGUGUUAGUUGUUUAAAUAGGGGGAAUAUGGUCACAAGUGUUAAGGCCAUUAUUUUCUAUUUUUAUAUAAAUGAUAACUUUUAAAAUCGAUAAAUUAUUAUAGGUAUUAUUAAUGAACUCGGCAAAUGUAUCCUGCACCUGUUUAUUAAAAACAUGGCUUCUUGGUAUUUAACUAAAAGAAGUCUAACCUGCCCGGUGGAUUAGCUCUAAACGGUUGCGGCUUGAGCCGUGUUAAGGUAGCAUAAUAAAUAGUCUCUUAAUUGGGGGAUAGAAUGAAUGGUUGAAUGAUGGGAUAGCUUUAUUAGUAAUAUAAAUAUGAAGUUUACUUUUAAGUGAAAAGGCUUAAAUUUUAUUGUUAGACGAUAAGACCCUAUUGAGCUUGAUAGUUUUUACCUACACUAUGUAAAAAUAAGUUUAGUCGGGACGGACUGGAAGAGAUGAGAUGUCUUCUUUGUCAUAUACUGAUCCAGCAGGGCUGAUAGAAAGAAGAUAGCUACCAUAGGGAUAACAGCGCAAUUCCUCCUCAGAGGUCUUAUUAAGGGGGGAGAUUGCGACCUCGAUGUUGAAUCAAGGCGAUCAUCCGGGUGUAGCAGCUUGGUUAGUGGGACUGUUCGUCCCUUAAAGUCUUAUGUUAUUUGAGUUUAGACCGGUGUGAACUAGGUCGGUCUCUAUCUGCAAUUGGGGGGGUUUUAGUACGAAAGGAAUUAGUCCCCUAGCUACGGCUAUAAGUUUAUUAUGAGUAAAGUAAUCAUGUUAGCUGAUGCAUUUUCAAUAUUUGACUAC